This 2008-nucleotide ribosomal RNA is filed under the name Staphylococcus aureus. RNAcentral describes it as "partial 23S ribosomal RNA". It matches the Rfam family "Bacterial large subunit ribosomal RNA", at positions 755 to 2763 of the family's 2925-position model. The record is from RNAcentral. Lineage: Bacteria; Bacillati; Bacillota; Bacilli; Caryophanales; Staphylococcaceae.
GGUAACACUGAAUGGAGGACCGAACCGACUUACGUUGAAAAGUGAGCGGAUGAACUGAGGGUAGCGGAGAAAUUCCAAUCGAACCUGGAGAUAGCUGGUUCUCUCCGAAAUAGCUUUAGGGCUAGCCUCAAGUGAUGAUUAUUGGAGGUAGAGCACUGUUUGGACGAGGGGCCCCUCUCGGGUUACCGAAUUCAGACAAACUCCGAAUGCCAAUUAAUUUAACUUGGGAGUCAGAACAUGGGUGAUAAGGUCCGUGUUCGAAAGGGAAACAGCCCAGACCACCAGCUAAGGUCCCAAAAUAUAUGUUAAGUGGAAAAGGAUGUGGCGUUGCCCAGACAACUAGGAUGUUGGCUUAGAAGCAGCCAUCAUUUAAAGAGUGCGUAAUAGCUCACUAGUCGAGUGACACUGCGCCGAAAAUGUACCGGGGCUAAACAUAUUACCGAAGCUGUGGAUUGUCCUUUGGACAAUGGUAGGAGAGCGUUCUAAGGGCGUUGAAGCAUGAUCGUAAGGACAUGUGGAGCGCUUAGAAGUGAGAAUGCCGGUGUGAGUAGCGAAAGACGGGUGAGAAUCCCGUCCACCGAUUGACUAAGGUUUCCAGAGGAAGGCUCGUCCGCUCUGGGUUAGUCGGGUCCUAAGCUGAGGCCGACAGGCGUAGGCGAUGGAUAACAGGUUGAUAUUCCUGUACCACCUAUAAUCGUUUUAAUCGAUGGGGGGACGCAGUAGGAUAGGCGAAGCGUGCGAUUGGAUUGCACGUCUAAGCAGUAAGGCUGAGUAUUAGGCAAAUCCGGUACUCGUUAAGGCUGAGCUGUGAUGGGGAGAAGACAUUGUGUCUUCGAGUCGUUGAUUUCACACUGCCGAGAAAAGCCUCUAGAUAGAAAAUAGGUGCCCGUACCGCAAACCGACACAGGUAGUCAAGAUGAGAAUUCUAAGGUGAGCGAGCGAACUCUCGUUAAGGAACUCGGCAAAAUGACCCCGUAACUUCGGGAGAAGGGGUGCUCUUUAGGGUUAACGCCCAGAAGAGCCGCAGUGAAUAGGCCCAAGCGACUGUUUAUCAAAAACACAGGUCUCUGCUAAACCGUAAGGUGAUGUAUAGGGGCUGACGCCUGCCCGGUGCUGGAAGGUUAAGAGGAGUGGUUAGCUUCUGCGAAGCUACGAAUCGAAGCCCCAGUAAACGGCGGCCGUAACUAUAACGGUCCUAAGGUAGCGAAAUUCCUUGUCGGGUAAGUUCCGACCCGCACGAAAGGCGUAACGAUUUGGGCACUGUCUCAACGAGAGACUCGGUGAAAUCAUAGUACCUGUGAAGAUGCAGGUUACCCGCGACAGGACGGAAAGACCCCGUGGAGCUUUACUGUAGCCUGAUAUUGAAAUUCGGCACAGCUUGUACAGGAUAGGUAGGAGCCUUUGAAACGUGAGCGCUAGCUUACGUGGAGGCGCUGGUGGGAUACUACCCUAGCUGUGUUGGCUUUCUAACCCGCACCACUUAUCGUGGUGGGAGACAGUGUCAGGCGGGCAGUUUGACUGGGGCGGUCGCCUCCUAAAAGGUAACGGAGGCGCUCAAAGGUUCCCUCAGAAUGGUUGGAAAUCAUUCAUAGAGUGUAAAGGCAUAAGGGAGCUUGACUGCGAGACCUACAAGUCGAGCAGGGUCGAAAGACGGACUUAGUGAUCCGGUGGUUCCGCAUGGAAGGGCCAUCGCUCAACGGAUAAAAGCUACCCCGGGGAUAACAGGCUUAUCUCCCCCAAGAGUUCACAUCGACGGGGAGGUUUGGCACCUCGAUGUCGGCUCAUCGCAUCCUGGGGCUGUAGUCGGUCCCAAGGGUUGGGCUGUUCGCCCAUUAAAGCGGUACGCGAGCUGGGUUCAGAACGUCGUGAGACAGUUCGGUCCCUAUCCGUCGUGGGCGUAGGAAAUUCGAGAGGAGCUGUCCUUAGUACGAGAGGACCGGGAUGGACAUACCUCUGGUGUACCAGUUGUCGUGCCAACGGCAUAGCUGGGUAGCUAUGUGUGGACGGG